RNAcentral lists this non-coding RNA (256 nucleotides) under Bacillus sp. (in: firmicutes). RNAcentral describes it as "Bacillus sp. T-box sequence". It matches the Rfam family "T-box leader". From Rfam's summary of the family: Uncharged tRNA acts as the effector for transcription antitermination of genes in the T-box leader family. T-boxes are found upstream of many aminoacyl-tRNA synthetase genes and some amino acid biosynthetic genes usually in Gram-positive bacteria. The record is from RNAcentral. Lineage: Bacteria; Bacillati; Bacillota; Bacilli; Caryophanales; Bacillaceae.
AAUGAAUCGAUGACGAGAAGAGUAGGAUAUAAGUUGUUUUUUAGAGAGUCGGCGGUUGGUGGGAGCCGAUAACAAUAAAUAUCUGAAGAUCAUCUCUGAGAUGUGUAGCUGAAAAAGCUUAGAAGUAAGCUAUACCGGACCAAUCCACCGUUAAAUGGAAACCGUACAGGCACAUGUACGAUAAUCGAGAGCCACAGCUGGUGAAAACAAUAUGCUGUGGAAGUAGGGUGGUAACGCGAGCUAACUCGUCCCUAUC